UACAGAGGGUGCGAGCGUUAAUCGGAAUUACUGGGCGUAAAGCGCGCGUAGGCGGCUUUGUAAGUCGGUUGUGAAAUCCCCGGGCUUAACCUGGGAACUGCAUCCGAGACUGCAUAGCUAGAGUAUGGGAGAGGGAAGUGGAAUUUCAGGUGUAGCGGUGAAAUGCGUAGAUAUCUGAAGGAACAUCAGUGGCGAAAGCGACUUCCUGGACCAGUACCGACGUUCAGGCACGAAAGCGUGGGGAGCAAACAGG
This 253-nucleotide ribosomal RNA is filed under the name uncultured bacterium. Its description in RNAcentral is "partial 16S ribosomal RNA". It matches the Rfam family "Bacterial small subunit ribosomal RNA", at positions 524 to 776 of the family's 1533-position model. The record is from RNAcentral.